Antechinus flavipes (yellow-footed antechinus) is the source of this 401-nucleotide long non-coding RNA. RefSeq lists it as uncharacterized. The record is from RefSeq and is a predicted model, not a curated record. The transcript has 2 exons. NCBI's taxonomy places the organism in Eukaryota, Metazoa, Chordata, Mammalia, Dasyuromorphia, Dasyuridae.
UUCAGCUAUCAGCCCCCCUCUCUCUUCAAGAGUCAUUAGACUCCAGUGGAAAUAUACAAGUCAGGAUGACUGGUGGUGAUCCAGGAUUCAGUGGGAGACCUUGACCUUUUUAAGAUGUAGAGGAGAAAAAAGUGAAGAGAAAAAAGAAAAAGAGGAAGAGAAAGAAGAGUAGGAAGAGAAAGAAAAGGAGGAGGAGAAAAGAAGAAGGAGGAGGAGGAGGAAAAGGAGAAGGAGGAAGAGAAAGAGGAGAAGAAAGAAGAGGAGGAGAAAGAGAACAAGAUAAAGAACAAUAAGAAGAACAAGAACAAGAAGGAGGAGGGAAAGGAGGGAAAACAAACAGAAAACAAAAUUACUAACAGGUGCAAUCAAUGGAAGUCAAUUAUAUAUUCCUGAUUAAGGCU